UGCAAGUCGAGGGGUAUAGCACUUCGGUGCUAGAGACCGGCGCACGGGUGCGUAACGCGUAUGCAAUCUACCUUUCACAGAGGGAUAGCCCAGAGAAAUUUGGAUUAAUACCUCAUAGCAUAACGACCUGGCAUCAGGAUGUUAUUAAAGUCACAACGGUGAAAGAUGAGCAUGCGUCCCAUUAGCUAGUUGGUAAGGUAACGGCUUACCAAGGCUACGAUGGGUAGGGGUCCUGAGAGGGAGAUCCCCCACACUGGUACUGAGACACGGACCAGACUCCUACGGGAGGCAGCAGUGAGGAAUAUUGGACAAUGGGCGCAAGCCUGAUCCAGCCAUGCCGCGUGCAGGAUGACGGUCCUAUGGAUUGUAAACUGCUUUUAUACGAGAAGAAACAACAUUACGUGUAAUGUCUUGACGGUAUCGUAAGAAUAAGGAUCGGCUAACUCCGUGCCAGCAGCCGCGGUAAUACGGAGGAUCCAAGCGUUAUCCGGAAUCAUUGGGUUUAAAGGGUCCGUAGGCGGUUUGGUAAGUCAGUGGUGAAAGCCCAUCGCUCAACGGUGGAACGGCCAUUGAUACUGCCAGACUUGAAUUAUUAGGAAGUAACUAGAAUAUGUAGUGUAGCGGUGAAAUGCUUAGAGAUUACAUGGAAUACCAAUUGCGAAGGCAGGUUACUACUAAUGGAUUGACGCUGAUGGACGAAAGCGUGGGUAGCGAACAGGAUUAGAUACCCUGGUAGUCCACGCCGUAAACGAUGGAUACUAGCUGUUGGGCGCAAGUUCAGUGGCUAAGCGAAAGUGAUAAGUAUCCCACCUGGGGAGUACGUUCGCAAGAAUGAAACUCAAAGGAAUUGACGGGGGCCCGCACAAGCGGUGGAGCAUGUGGUUUAAUUCGAUGAUACGCGAGGAACCUUACCAAGGCUUAAAUGUAGAUUGACCGGUUUGGAAACAGACUUUUCGCAAGACAAUUUACAAGGUGCUGCAUGGUUGUCGUCAGCUC
RNAcentral lists this ribosomal RNA (996 nucleotides) under Flavobacterium resistens. Its description in RNAcentral is "bacterial SSU rRNA". It matches the Rfam family "Bacterial small subunit ribosomal RNA", at positions 56 to 1061 of the family's 1533-position model. Lineage: Bacteria; Pseudomonadati; Bacteroidota; Flavobacteriia; Flavobacteriales; Flavobacteriaceae. The record is from RNAcentral.